This 491-nucleotide ribosomal RNA is filed under the name uncultured bacterium. RNAcentral's name for it is "partial 16S ribosomal RNA". It matches the Rfam family "Bacterial small subunit ribosomal RNA", at positions 29 to 506 of the family's 1533-position model. The record is from RNAcentral.
AGUGAACGCUGGCGGUAGGCCUAACACAUGCAAGUCGAACGGCAGCACAGUAAGAGCUUGCUCUUACGGGUGGCGAGUGGCGGACGGGUGAGGAAUACAUCGGAAUCUACUUUUUCGUGGGGGAUAACGUAGGGAAACUUACGCUAAUACCGCAUACGACCUACGGGUGAAUGCAGGGGAUCUUCGGACCUUGCGCGAUUGAAUGAGCCGAUGUCGGAUUAGCUAGUUGGCGGGGUAAAGGCCCACCAAGGCGACGAUCCGUAGCUGGUCUGAGAGGAUAAUCAGCCAAACUGAAACUGAGACACGGUCCAGACUCCUACGGGGGGCAGCAGUGGGGAAUAUUGGACAAUGGGCGCAAGCCUGAUCCAGCCAUACCGCGUGGGUGAAGAAGGCCUUCGAGUUGUAAAGCCCUUUUGUUGGGAAAGAAAAGCAGCAGGUUAAUACCCCACUGUUCUGACGGUACCCAAAGAAUAAGCACCGGCUAACUUCGU